Molecule: ribosomal RNA, 245 nt
Filed under: uncultured bacterium
Lineage: Bacteria
Description: partial 16S ribosomal RNA
Rfam family: Bacterial small subunit ribosomal RNA
Source: RNAcentral
AGUAACGCGUGGGUAACCUGCCUCAUACAGGGGGAUAACAGUUAGAAAUGACUGCUAAUACCGCAUAAGACCACAGCACUGCAUGGUGCAGUGGUAAAAACUCCGGUGGUAUGAGAUGGACCCGCGUCUGAUUAGCCAGUUGGCAGGGUAACGGCCUACCAAAGCGACGAUCAGUAGCCGGCCUGAGAGGGUGAACGGCCACAUUGGGACUGAGACACGGCCCAAACUCCUACGGGAGGCAGCAG